UGCUGCUGCUUGUUUCGGCCCUUACUUUUUCGAGAACAUGAAGAGCAAGGGAUUUAUGGUUGCUUCUUCUCUGCAUUCCAUCGAUCUCUUUGUAAACCUGAGUAUGGGCGACAUCAUGAUUUUAUCGUCUCAAGGCUUCUUCUUCGUCUUUCCUCAUCCCCUAUAAUUCUUCAUUUUGGGGCAUUUGAAGCUUAUCCCUGUUCAUGAAGAUUAGAAUGAUCAUUCUAGAGUGUACAGAAAAGCGAGUCCUUUUGGGAAUCCAGGAAAAAUUAUCCCAUUGCUACAAUUGACAAUAGCAAAAAGUAAUGGAUGAGAAUGAAUCUUGGAUGGAACAACAAAAUGGGUCACUCUCAGCUUGACUGAAACACAAAAUGGGUCACUCAGCUUCACCGAAACACACUUAAAGGCGGAGUCUGAAGAAGAAAAAAGAAGCAAUGCAUCUCGACUUUUGGGAAGGAAAUAGGACUCUUUGUUGAGCAUCGUUUCAUUCCCAGAGUCAAUUGCAUCGUACGUGCACUUGAAGUCAGAGUAAUGUGUUCACACCAUCUGGUAGGAAGCCCAAGGGAGCAAACAACAGUCACUUGACGGAUAUGCCUGAUCUAAUUUGUAAUUUUCUAUGCUACAAGCUCCCACUUUUUGUUGAUAUUAUUGAUAUCACAGUGAAUAUCGUGUGGCCAUUACCAAUGGAUUUCUAGAACAGUCCUUCUUCUUCUUCUUCUUCUUCUUCUUCUUCAUCACAGAGGAUCUGGAAAUAUGAUAUGGCUAUAAGUUACAAUGAUAUGGAAACUGGCUCGUUUUAUACAAUUCUUUAGAAUGCUUUAGAAAAGGAAUGUUUCAGAAUCGGCAGCUGGUUUGACCCGUCAUUAGAAAUAAUUGAAGGAUCCCAGAUUUAUAUAGUUGUCUUCUCACAAAGAUAUGCUUUCUCACCAAGUUGCUUGGGUGAACUGGCAGUGAUGUUUGAGUGCAUGAAGGUACAAGGCCACAAAUUUCUGCCAAUUUUUUUCAAGAUCGAUCCGUCUAGAGUGAAAACAUGGCUAGCUCCAUUUCAGAUACUACUGGAACGCCCAGAUUUGGUCAUACAAAACUGCUAAGUAAUUAUUAAUGUUCUGUCAGUUUAUAUGUUGUUGGUUAUGGAUCUGAUUGUUCACAUCUCAUCAUCUUUAUGAUCGAUCUCCUAAUGCAUGUUCAACAAAUUGAUUAAAUUCUUCACAAUACAUGUUUGGGAUCUGGGAAUAAUAGACAGAGAGAGGGAAUAAGUAAUAUAUUAAAACCUUUCUGUUAAUUACAUGUUUACUCAGAUCUCUUCAAUUUCAAACAAGUUAAAUUCUAAUUUUAUGUACCAUCAUUUGCUCUCUCUUCUAUCAUUGUUGUCGUUUUCUCUAUUCCAAACUCUUUGAAAAGCAUGAUACAGUAUUGUAACUUUCUCUGAACUAAACUUUUAUUUAGGUAGAUAAGUCAAACAAGAAAUGUAUAAAAUUUGAAUUGUUAUCCGCUUUUUAUGACUUGUUAAUAAUGUGAGUAUAUAGUCUUAAGUUUUAUAUUUAAUAUUGAUGAUACUCAUUGUUAUGCUUGAUAGAACAUAGAAGUUUUUAAAUCCCCAACUUUUUGUUUUAUCAAGGAACUAUAGUUUUUCUUCAUAUAUAUUUUUUUGUAACAAACAUGAGUAUAUAAAUAUAUUAAAAGAUAAAAAAUCAGAGCUGAAUUACAUUCAUCCGGGGAACAAAAGUAGAGUUAGUAAAGAAAAAAACUAUCUAAAGCAACAUGAAAAAACAUCAGCAAUGAUAGUAUCAGCACUGUGUUGAUUAAGAAGAUCCUUGAAGAUGAUUGUUUUCUUGAAGCACACUAAAUUCAGCCCUUCCAAAGGAAAAUUAUAGUGAUGACCAAAAUUUGAAACCCACAAAAUUGCUGAUCUGAGAUAAAGCAGAUUGAAAUUUGGUUGACCUUUAGUGUGCUUCCUGAACACAAUACUGAUAAGCCGUUUAGAAUCCAACCAGAUUAUAUCAAAGAACAAUGUGGUAAUUUCCUGAAUUUGAAUCUCCUCUUUGUAAUUAACCAUCCUGGCCAAAACCUGCCCUAAACAGAGGGAAAUGACUGAGAAGGUUGAAUGAGUGAAGUAUGAUUUCUAUUCCCCCAAUCACAUAUCUGUGUUAACAAAUAUCUUUGACUAACAAAAUCACGCAUCAAAAUUUGAGGGGGAAUUAUUUUGCCUUGAUGCACAGCCAAGUUUCUAGAGAGCAAAAUCGAAUUUAAAAUAAUAAUGAUGGAUAAAACCAACUCUCUUGAUUUCCUUGUUGAUUAAGAGCAUUAAAAAGUGCAUAGAAGCCAAGAGAUUACUCCUUACUGCAUAAAAUCUGACAUUCUUAUUGAAAGUCGAGCAAAUCAACAAGCUUUAGAAUAGCUGCAAAAGGCAAAUACAUGAUCUAAAGAUUCCAUCUGAUCACGUCCAAAAGGACAAAGGUUGCUAUUAGAAAGAUGAAGCUUCCAGAGGACAUCUCCAACAGUUAUUGAAUGGUGAAUUAAUUUCCAAAUGAAUAAUAGAAAUUUCAUUGUAAGCUUCAGUUUCCAAAGGUAACCCCAAAUUGGUUGAGACGAUAAGGGAAACUGAAAAAUCAAUCUAUUCAGCGGUAUUUUGAAUCCAUCCUUGGUUGUGUAUUCACCAGUAGAAGAUCCAGUCUACAUUAUCCUAUCCUCUGGCCUAGUGGAAGGGAGAGGAAUGCUAAGGAUUCGAGAAGCAUUUUGAUCACUGUAAAGUGAUUUAAUAAGAUUCUGGUUCCAAGAAACAGCUUGCCCUGCCAUUGGUUUGGAACUGAAGCAAAUCUUUCACAAUGAAAGAACCUGGAUCAAUCAUAAAUAUACCCUCUGAAUUUUCCCAUCAUUCUUCUUCAUCGGCUGACAAGAGUACCAUUAUGUACUUGCUUGUUAUGAUUUAGUGAUGCUUACCUUAUAGAAAAGUACCGUUUGAGCCAAAGUGCAUUGAAUUGAAAUAAACAUACUGGGCCUCUAUAUCUUUUGUUAGGAGUUGAUUGUGGCUGCUUAUGUUUUGCGUAAUAGCAUUGUUAUUUUUUGUUCUUUUUCUCUUCUUUUCUCUAGGAAGAUCAAAGACGAGUUAUUGGCAAAAUAGUUGUGGAGGCAAAGAAAACUUUGGUUGAAGAAAAAGAGACAUUUGCAAUGGAUGUCCAGAGAAGUGUAGGGUUGUUAGCCAAGGGAUAUGGCCAUGGAGCUGUGAUGUGUUUGUAUUGAAUUUCUUAACUGAGGACAAUCGCUCAUUUGUUGAAGACCUUCACAACGCUCUAUAUAGAAAUGAUGUGGUUAUGGCUUCGCGAGAUUCUAUUGCUCAAGCUCCCAUGGACAAAUACAAGCUUUGUGUUUAUAUGAGGCCCAGACACGCUACUUGCAGGAACUGAACUUAAAUAAGCGACGCACAUCAUUUCUGCAAAUUUUUUUGCAGGUGGAUCCCUUUAAAGUACGUAAUGCCAGUUUUCUUUCUAGUAAAGAUUUGGUGGUUCAAGAUAAGUAGACCUUCUUCUCUAAUUGUUCUGUCCAUAUUUUAAAAUUUCUUCUUUCAAAGCAUUUUAAGGGAUAUAUUGAAGUAAAGAAAAUAAAUAAACUAUGAUUUAAUUAUCAUUUUAGGUGUGUCUUCUUUCCUUUAAUUAUUCUUAACUUGAAAAUACAAUUAUUCUCAACUUUUUUGCGCCAAAUUAUGAACUCAGUCCUUUAGUAUAGAACUUUUGUUUUCACGAAAUUAAACAUUUACUCUAAUAAUUAAUAAAGAUAAUAUUUCUCGAAUAAGUUCAUUUUACAUAAAUUUAGGCAAAUGAUUUGUAGAUUAAUGUGCAGUCAAUAUCAUUUUCUUAGCAAUCUUCUUCAUCAAUUGACAUCUGUUCACUUUGUUAGUAAUAGUGGCGCUAACUUUCUUUUCAUUCAACUUAUUCAGGAGAGACCAGCCUAUGGUUAUUCGUAAUAUUGUUAAGAAAUAUGGAAACUCCAUUUUGUGUGGAAAGCGUUAUUGGAAAUCAAGUCUAAACCAUGUUGAAGAAUUUGCAAAGGAAAUAGAUAAAUCAGGACAAAUAGCUACAGUUGGGAUAGGUUAUCGUCAAGUAGAAAAAUUAAUUGAUCUUCUAGACUUAGGCUCAAAGGAUGUUGUGCCAGUUGUAGGGAUUAGUGGGAUGGGGGGAGUCGGGAAGUCAGCUCUUGCCGGAGAUGUCUUUAACAAGAUCUCCCACCUUUUUGAUUCUGCCUAUUUCAUCUCCAUUCCACCAGGUACCAGCCAAGUCUAUCUCCUAAAUCAAUUCAUUUUAAGAGAGGCAUUUCUCCGGAUAGCUUUCCCAGAAAGGCCAAGAUUCCAUAGGAUACUUGUUUUUGAUGAUGUCGAGUAUCUGGAAGUUUUAGAUGAAGGAUGGAUUAGAGAGUUGUUUGGAGGGGAAGUAGAAUUAUCACAACAAGCAGAGAAGAGGGACUCCUUAGAAAGAUUGGAGUAGAUGAAAUUCACAAGAUGGAACUAUUGAAUCAAAAUAAAGCUCUUCGAUUUUUCUGUAAAAUUGCUUUCAAAAGUGAUAAACCAAUGAGAGGUUAUGAGGAGCUAACCCAUGAGGCACUUAAAUACGCUGAUGGCCUUCGAUUAACUAUUAAAUCAGUAGGUUCAACACUGGUUGGUCUAUGUGUUUCAGAGUGGAAAAGUGUGUUCGCCAAACUGCAAACGAUUCUUGACUUUUCAGUGCUUACGGUGCUUCAUAAAAGUUUUGAUGGACUCACACAUGAACAGAAGGAUGCUUUCUUGGAUAUUACAUUUUGUUUUGUAUGACAAGAGAUUGAUUAUGUCCAGAGGAUUUUACUUGGUCAAAAUGCGACAAUCAAAAGUCUUAUGGACAAGUCACUAAUAAACAUAUCAAACCAAAGAAUAAAAAUACAUCCUAUCCUACAACAAUUGGCAAAAGUAAUUGUUCAACGUGAAUCUUUUAUGCCUGGAAGGCGCAGUAGGAUAUGGAAUUAUGAAGAUUUUCAUCAUAUUAUGGAGACAAACAUGGGAAUUGAUCGUGUUGAAGUCAUAGUACUCUCAAAUGAAGAACAUCCACAAGGGACAGCAUUAAAUGUUGAAGGUUUAUAAAAAAUGAGGAGACUUGGAAUCCUUAUAUUUCACAAUGUGAAAUUUUCAUGAAGUCUUCUUGAUCUUUCUAACAACUUAAGAUAUCUUUUAUGGCAUAAAUAUCCAUUUAAUUAUUUGCCAUCGAAUUUUAAUCCAAAAAAUCUUGUGGAAUUGAUCAUGCCAGAUAGCAGCAUGACACUAUUAUGGAGAGGCGAAGAGAAAGGUAUUCCGCUGCCAACGAGCUUGAACCUUUGUGGCUCUGAAGAUCUGAAAAAGACACCUAAUUUUAGAUUGCUUCGACCUCCUGAGAGGUUAGACUUGGAAGGAUGUACUUCAUUGGUGCAGCUUCAUCCUUCUAUUGUGUAUAUAAGAAGGCUUAAGUUUUUAAUUUGAGAAACUGCACAAAUCUAGUGAGCAUCUCAAAUGAAUUAUUUGUCAAAAGCUCUCUUGAAUUUCUAAAUCUAGCUGGCUGCUCCAAAUUCGCCAAAUGUUUGAGGUUCAAGAGAUUAACAAUAAAUCGUUCUUCUAUUAAACUUAUGUGUUGGAAUUGUGGUAAUGGCAAUGUUCUCACUCUGAUUGCCCUUAUCCAUGUAAUGUUAAUGUUGCUCACGUUUGGGAUUUAUGUAGCCAAGUGUGUCAUGUAUUGAGAAAUGAGAUUCAUUAUAUAUCCUGUAUUCAUUCUA
Molecule: long non-coding RNA, 5766 nt
Organism: Prosopis cineraria
Lineage: Eukaryota; Viridiplantae; Streptophyta; Magnoliopsida; Fabales; Fabaceae
Exons: 6
Source: RefSeq, a predicted model, not a curated record